UUAAAGUUGUUGCAGUUAAAAAGCUCGUAGUUGAAUUUCGGGAUCAAUUAAUUGGUCGUGCCUCUGGUACGUACUGAUUUUAUUGGUUUCUCCCUUCUGACGAACCAUGAUGUCAUUAAUUUGAUGUCGUGGAGAAUCAGGACUGUUACUUUGAAAAAAUUAGAGUGUUUAAAGCAAGCUAACGCUUGAAUACAUUAGCAUGGAAUAAUGAAAUAGGACGUUUGAUCCUAUUUUGUUGGUUUCUAGGAUCGACGUAAUGAUUAAUAGGGAUAGUUGGGGGCAUUAGUAUUCAAUUGUCAGAGGUGAAAUUCUUGGAUUUAUUGAAGACUAACUACUGCGAAAGCAUUUGCCAAGGAUGUUUUCAUUAAUCAAGAACGAAAGUUAGGGGAUCGAAGACGAUCAGAUACCGUCGUAGUCUUAACCAUAAACUAUGCCGACUAGGGAUCGGAUGAUGUUAAUUUUUUAAUGACUCAUUCGGCGC
Molecule: ribosomal RNA, 481 nt
Filed under: uncultured Glomus
Lineage: Eukaryota; Fungi; Glomeromycota; Glomeromycetes; Glomerales; Glomeraceae
Description: SSU rRNA
Rfam family: Eukaryotic small subunit ribosomal RNA
Source: RNAcentral